This is an antisense RNA of 75 nucleotides. It matches the Rfam family "ASpks TB sRNA".
CUUGAUCGAGCCCAGCCACAACGGCCGUUCCGCCGUGCGCUCCUGCCCGUAGGUGGCGAUGAGCGCCUGCGCCUC